This is a long non-coding RNA of Hippocampus zosterae (dwarf seahorse), 422 nucleotides long. RefSeq lists it as uncharacterized. The record is from RefSeq and is a predicted model, not a curated record. NCBI's taxonomy places the organism in Eukaryota, Metazoa, Chordata, Actinopteri, Syngnathiformes, Syngnathidae. The transcript is spliced from 2 exons.
GUCAAAGGCCCGCCCGGUGCAAAAGUAUUGCUUCCUGUUGCAUUUUGGCGCCAAGGGACUAUGUUGAGGGAUUCUCCGCGGGAAGAGCCACCAUGGGGACCUUUUCCGAGGGGGACAUGGGCGCAGGUUCUUUGCUCCCGGGUUGGUCCGCAACCUCCGCUUCGGGCGCGGGGGAGCUGGGGGAUUUGGCGGCGGCGCUGGCGGCGAAUCCUUGAGCAAUGUCGUCGAAGGUCCUUCCUUUGGUCUCGGGCACCCGCAGGAAAGUGAAGAUGAAGAAGAGGAUGAGCAAGACCAUGAAGAUGAUGAACACGUAAGGACCGCAGAGUUCCUAAGGGAAGCACAGACAGAGAGUUUGGAUCAACAAAGUGUGUGCAUGCUGGCGCCCUCUUGUGGCAUAGUAAAGUAUCACCUAUGUACGUUCA